RNAcentral lists this ribosomal RNA (254 nucleotides) under uncultured bacterium. Its description in RNAcentral is "partial 16S ribosomal RNA". It matches the Rfam family "Bacterial small subunit ribosomal RNA", at positions 524 to 776 of the family's 1533-position model. The record is from RNAcentral.
UACGGAGGGAGCGAGCGUUGUCCGAAGUUACUGGGCGUAAAGCGCGCGUAGGCGGGAAAUUAAGUGAGAAGUGAAAGGCUGGGGCUUAACCCCAUGCAGUGCUCCUCAUACUGGUUUUCUUGAGGGUGGUAGAGAGAAGUGGAAUGGCUGGUGUAGCGGUGAAAUGCGUAGAUAUCAGUCGGAACACCAGUGGCGAAGGCGGCGCUCUGGGCCGGUACUGACACUGAGGAGCGAAAGCGUGGGUAGCAAACAGG